AGUGAACGCUGGCGGUAGGCCUGACACAUGCAAGUCGAACGGCAGCACAGUAAGAGCUUGCUCUUACGGGUGGCGAGUGGCGGACGGGUGAGGAAUACAUCGGAAUCUACUUUUUCGUGGGGGAUAACGUAGGGAAACUUACGCUAAUACCGCAUACGACCUACGGGUGAAAGCAUGGGAUCUUCGGACCUUGCGCGAUUGAAUGAGCCGAUGUCGGAUUGGCUAGUUGGCGGGGUAAAGGCCCACCAAGGCGGCGAUUCGUAGCUGGUCUGAGAGGAUGAUCACCCACACUGGAACUGGACCAGGGUCAAGACGCCUAGGGGAGGCAGCAGUGGGGAAUAUUGGACAAUGGGGGCAAGCAUGAUCCAGCCAUACCGCGUGGGUGAAAAAGGCCUUCGGGUUGUAAAGCCCUUUUGUUGGGAAAGAAAAGCAGCAGGUUAAUACCACGCUGUUGUGACGGUACCCAAAGAAUAAGCACCGGCUAACUUCGUG
RNAcentral lists this ribosomal RNA (492 nucleotides) under uncultured bacterium. RNAcentral describes it as "partial 16S ribosomal RNA". It matches the Rfam family "Bacterial small subunit ribosomal RNA", at positions 29 to 507 of the family's 1533-position model. The record is from RNAcentral.